Molecule: long non-coding RNA, 1047 nt
Filed under: Homo sapiens (human)
Lineage: Eukaryota; Metazoa; Chordata; Mammalia; Primates; Hominidae
Description: long non-coding RNA NONHSAT149702.1
Source: RNAcentral
GCACCAACCACUUAGGCAAAUUAGUGAUUUCAGUAACUUAGUAUUUCAGUAACUGGCGCUCACAGGCAAAUGCGUAAUGGAUUAACCCCAUAUUAUUUAAAUGCUUCCAAAAAGCUAUAGGAAAAUGGCCAUGAAAAACAAACUGACAAAUUUAGCCAACAGGCCACUAUUUGACAAUUCUGCAAGCUUAUUUUUAAAAUUCAGCUUAUCAAAACUGCCAUUCCAGAAGCCAGGGACCUGAGUUUCCAUAGAGGAUGGAGUAGAAUGGAGGGGCCUCUGUAUAAAUCUACCUCCUCGGGAACUGGGACAGUUCAGCAUUCACCAGAGUAACAUAUGAAGAAACAGGAGAUUCCUACAUGCUCCUGGGGAUCCAGAAGAGAGACCACUCACAUGACUGGAAGAUUUCCAGCUCAGGUAACCACAAAGGCCAUAUAUUUGGUGAAUACAUGCAAUGUUAGUUAGAAUAAAACCAAAUUUCUCUGAAUAAUAUAAAGUCAUUACUAAUAAAACUUUUAUAGAUUUUUCUCUGAAGAAAUUUCCAGGAAGGUGUUAAGAGAAAGCCCUACAAUUAAGGUAUGGAGGCUGGCUGCAGGCCCUGAAAGCUACUCUGACGAGCAAUGACUUAAUGCUGAUAGUGGGAAGUCUCUUGCCCACUGCAGGAUACAGAGAAUUCUUCCUCAACCCGAGGCUUCUGCUCAUUCACUCCCUUCUCAGCAGGUCCCUUCUUCUCUGAGGGCUGAUGCAUCCCAGCCUUCUGCUGGGACAUUUUCUCAUGAAGAGCUCUCUUACAGCCGUCUUUGAAAGGAAGGACAGAGAAGAAAGAUGUCUAUGUCUUCACAAUGGCCAGGCUUUUCUCCAAAACUACCUAAAGCAAUUGAAACAAAAUUAUGGCUUACAGAGGUUAGAUUAUUAGUGGAGAUCCCGUAGGACGAUAGAAUCUCAAGAGCAGAGCCUACCAGGAAGUAGAGUGAAGCCUACAACUUCCUCAGCCAUGAGGACCCAACAAUCCACUGGGUAAAAGAAAGAUGCAGCAAGUGCUGGGGUGGG